GGCCUGGUUGCGCUUGGAGCGCGUCUGUGUUUCGUGCAACAUGAACGGAAUUGAAUGCACUGAAGCAGCUGUCUCCCGUUCGAUUCGGGGCCGGGCCA
Molecule: non-coding RNA, 98 nt
Organism: Mycena galopus ATCC 62051
Lineage: Eukaryota; Fungi; Basidiomycota; Agaricomycetes; Agaricales; Mycenaceae
Source: the annotation of a GenBank genome assembly